AUAUUUUGGAAUUUUUCCCAUGGCGACCAUUUAUUUUUUAUAAAAAUCAGGACACUAAAAUUAUCUUUACAGUUUUGGCAAUUCACAGUCUUGAAAACCAUAUUUUUAGCGGUCACAGUUUAUGGCAACCACAAAGGGACGGGGAAUCAGGGUUCGAUUCCAGAAAGGGAGCCUGAGAAAUGGCUACCACAUCCAAGGAAGGCAGCAGGCGUACAAAUUACCCACUCCCAACCUGGGAAGGUAGUGAUGAAAAAUAACAAUACAGGACUCUUUCAAGGCCCUGUAAUUGGAAUGAGUAUAUUUUAAAUCCUUUAAUGAGGAUCCAUUGGAGGGCAAGUCUGGUGCCAGCAGCCGCGGUAAUUCCAGCUCCUUUU
This 374-nucleotide non-coding RNA is filed under the name Monodelphis domestica (gray short-tailed opossum). RNAcentral's name for it is "Microsporidia small subunit ribosomal RNA". It matches the Rfam family "Eukaryotic small subunit ribosomal RNA", at positions 203 to 595 of the family's 1831-position model. The record is from Rfam by way of RNAcentral. Lineage: Eukaryota; Metazoa; Chordata; Mammalia; Didelphimorphia; Didelphidae.